This is a long non-coding RNA of Monodelphis domestica (gray short-tailed opossum), 513 nucleotides long. RefSeq lists it as uncharacterized. The record is from RefSeq and is a predicted model, not a curated record. NCBI's taxonomy places the organism in Eukaryota, Metazoa, Chordata, Mammalia, Didelphimorphia, Didelphidae.
ACCUUUUCAUUCAUUCUUUUCUAUGUGAGGUGCAUAGAGUGAAGUCUUCAACCAUGGGAGAGAAAGCUACAGGCAUGUAAGAAUCAAAAUCCAAGCUAGGUAUUGCAGCCAGCCCAAAAUCAAUGCUUCAGGGAACAAAAGAAUCUUUAGAAGUGAACUUCUGGACCCAUGCCAACAAAAGCUGAAACAGGGACUCAACCAGCAGCAAAAUGAACUUGGGAUUCCGGCUCGGCAACUGUUUUAUCAACCUGCACAGCAUUAGGAGGGGAGAUGCUGCAUUUGUGAUCAAACGGCUGGAACUGAGAAACCGUUGUAGAGGAAUGGUGGGCUUUGCUGCAAUUUGUGAGCCUGCUUUGAGGUCCUGACUAUUUAGAGAGGUAUUCAGAUUGAACCCCUACCAAGAUGCCACAAGAUUUUUCUGCUUUCUUCAAAUGAACUGGUAUCAUCUAUAUAGAAUGCUCACUUCCAUCUCACAUGAACAGAAGAUCUCAUAUCUGAAUAAAAAGUUAACUA